Molecule: long non-coding RNA, 268 nt
Filed under: Pelobates cultripes (western spadefoot toad)
Lineage: Eukaryota; Metazoa; Chordata; Amphibia; Anura; Pelobatidae
Source: RNAcentral
CAGUGGUCUGUUUAAUGAGGGCUACCUGCCCAGAAUUUAUGCAGGUCUCCCACCUGGUGGACACUCCCCUAGGGGACCAAAUGGGAGACUGUGACAAAAGACAGACAAUCAGCAAAAUAGGACACAGUCAAAUUAUAUUCCCACAAUGCAUCCUGGCUUCCUCCCCUCUGCCCUGGAGAUAAUUGAGAAGUAAUUCAAUUAUCUCCCAGGACAAAGGCAAAUCGCCAUUAUGCACGUGGGGAUACCAAUACAGGAAUUACUAUUAAAA